GCGAGAGUAGUACAGUGGUAGUACAUUUGCUUCCCAAGCAAGUAACGCGGGUCCGAUUCCCGUCUCUCGCU
This 71-nucleotide transfer RNA is filed under the name Patescibacteria group bacterium. RNAcentral's name for it is "tRNA-Gly". It matches the Rfam family "tRNA". Rfam says of the family: Transfer RNA (tRNA) molecules are approximately 80 nucleotides in length. Their secondary structure includes four short double-helical elements and three loops (D, anti-codon, and T loops). Further hydrogen bonds mediate the characteristic L-shaped molecular structure. tRNAs have two regions of fundamental functional importance: the anti-codon, which is responsible for specific mRNA codon recognition, and the 3' end, to which the tRNAs corresponding amino acid is attached (by aminoacyl-tRNA synthetases). tRNAs cope with the degeneracy of the genetic code in two manners: having more than one tRNA (with a specific anti-codon) for a particular amino acid; and 'wobble' base-pairing, i.e. permitting non-standard base-pairing at the 3rd anti-codon position. The record is from RNAcentral.